GGGUGGUAAUGCCGGAUGUUCCAGUUGAUCGCAUGGUCUUCUGGGAAAGCUUUCGCGGUAUGGGAUGGGGUCGCGUCCUAUCAGCUUGACGGCGGGGUAACGGCCCACCGUGGCUUCGACGGGUAGCCGGCCUGAGAGGGCGACCGGCCACAUUGGGACUGAGAUACGGCCCAGACUCCUACGGGAGGCAGCAGUGGGGAAUAUUGCACAAUGGGCGCAAGCCUGAUGCAGCGACGCCGCGUGAGGGAUGGAGGCCUUCGGGUUGUAAACCUCUUUUAUCGGGGAGCAAGCGAGAGUGAGUUUACCCGUUGAAUAAGCACCGGCUAACUACGUGCCAGCAGCCGCGGUAAUACGUAGGGUGCAAGCGUUAUCCGGAAUUAUUGGGCGUAAAGGGCUCGUAGGCGGUUCGUCGCGUCCGGUGUGAAAGUCCAUCGCUUAACGGUGGAUCCGCGCCGGGUACGGGCGGGCUUGAGUGCGGUAGGGGAGACUGGAAUUCCCGGUGUAACGGUGGAAUGUGUAGAUAUCGGAAAAAAAACACCA
This 540-nucleotide ribosomal RNA is filed under the name Bifidobacterium longum subsp. suillum. Its description in RNAcentral is "bacterial SSU rRNA". It matches the Rfam family "Bacterial small subunit ribosomal RNA", at positions 158 to 711 of the family's 1533-position model. The record is from RNAcentral. Lineage: Bacteria; Bacillati; Actinomycetota; Actinomycetes; Bifidobacteriales; Bifidobacteriaceae.